GCAGCCGCGGUAAUUCCAGCUCCAAUAGCGUAUAUUAAAGUUGUUGCAGUUAAAAAGCUCGUAGUUGAAUUUCGGGAUCAGUAUGUUGGUCGUGCUUCGGUACGUACUGUCAUUACUGGUUUCUACCUUCUGAAGAACCUUGAUGUCAUUAAUUUGGUGUCUUGGGGAAUCAGGACUGUUACUUUGAAAAAAUUAGAGUGUUUAAAGCAAGCAUACGCUUGAAUACAUUAGCAUGGAAUAAUGAAAUAGGACGUUUGAUUCUAUUUUGUUGGUUUCUAGGAUCGACGUAAUGAUUAAUAGGGAUAGUUGGGGGCAUUAGUAUUCAAUUGUCAGAGGUGAAAUUCUUGGAUUUAUUGAAGACUAACUACUGCGAAAGCAUUUGCCAAGGAUGUUUUCAUUAAUCAAGAACGAAAGUUAGGGGAUCGAAGACGAUCAGAUACCGUCGUAGUCUUAACCAUAAACUAUGCCGACUAGGGAUCGGAUGAUGUUAAUUUUUUAAUGACUCAUUCGGCGCCUUACGGG
This 522-nucleotide ribosomal RNA is filed under the name uncultured Glomeromycotina. RNAcentral describes it as "SSU rRNA". It matches the Rfam family "Eukaryotic small subunit ribosomal RNA", at positions 570 to 1094 of the family's 1831-position model. The record is from RNAcentral. Lineage: Eukaryota; Fungi; Glomeromycota.